RNAcentral lists this ribosomal RNA (265 nucleotides) under uncultured bacterium. RNAcentral's name for it is "partial 16S ribosomal RNA". It matches the Rfam family "Bacterial small subunit ribosomal RNA", at positions 62 to 339 of the family's 1533-position model. The record is from RNAcentral.
UCGAGCGGUAGAAUUUUUAGCUCGCUAGAAAUUUGAGAGCGGCGAACGGGUGAGUAACACGUUGGUAUCUGCCCCCAAGUCAGGGAUAGCCAGAGGAAACUCUGAUUAAUACCGGAUAGUCUCUUCGGAGUAAAGAUUUAUUGCUUGGGGAGGAACCUGCGUUCUAUCAGCUAGUUGGUGAGAUAAAAGCUCACCAAGGCUAUGACGGAUACCUGGUCUGAGAGGAUGAUCAGGCACAAUGGAACUGAGACACGGUCCAUACUCC